RNAcentral lists this long non-coding RNA (1355 nucleotides) under Strigops habroptila (Kakapo). RNAcentral's name for it is "lncRNA (ENSSHBG00005005292.1)". Lineage: Eukaryota; Metazoa; Chordata; Aves; Psittaciformes; Psittacidae. The record is from RNAcentral.
UUUUAUUUUUGUUUCAAUUUUGGGCACCUAUAGUAUUUAAUGACUACAUAUGCAAGUACACAUAGGUGUAUAGGUAUCUCAGUUUUAAAAGGCAUAUUUUACCUCUUUUUCAUACAAUCAACACUGGUGUUUUGAAGUCUUGCUUCUCCUGCCCCAUGUUACAUUCUCCAUUACAAUCUGUCAUUCAGCUGUGCAGGCUUCAAACACCGAUCUAUGUAGUACAGCACUAAGGGAUUUCCUGAGUCAGGUUUAUUCAUCGUUAUCUGUAAAAAGCAGGAGCAGGGGAGAGACAGGGUGAAAAGGAGCAACACACACACACACACACACACACGAUCAAGCUGGGGUUACAAAACAAAUUAGAAACCACAAUUUAGUAAGCAGUAAUACCAGAAUUCACCAACUCAGUCACCAAGGAGAUAACUGUUACCAAAACUGCCUUGAAAGCACUCUAUGUACAAACAUUGAACAACAUGUCAUCCUAGUGAAUUUAAGGUAAUUUCACAUCAAGCAGCCUGCCUCAGAACAAUCCUCUUAGUAAAAAGAGCAGCACAGAUUCUUUUCCCCUAGCUUUUCUUAUUUGAAGAGCAUAAAACUUCUGAGACAGCAGCUCAUGAACAUGCUUCUGACUCACUUGUCCUCUAUUCACCUUUAUUAGCACAGCAUUUUUUUCUUUAAAUGUCUGAAAUUUAAAGAACUACUUUAAAUGUAAUUCUUUAUGUACUUCAGUACUGAAGUACUACAUGUACUUUCAAUGUCUGAACCAUAAAGAACUACUUUCACAUACAUUUUUGUAUGCUAUCACCAAUUUGUAAAACACAGAGUUGGAACUGAAGCUAUUAAAAAUAGCCACCUGUUAAUCAGCAUUUUGCAAGAUGAAAGUCAGCUCAUUUUAAUAGGGUUCACUCAGACAGCUUGCAAUUGGUAUGCCAGCAUUUCAGCAAAUUGGCAUUUAAGCCUUUUAGUACUAGUUUUAAAAUACCCUUAAGGCGAAGUGGCAAAGAAAAGAAACUGGUAACACUAGAGUUACCACUUUCUUCUUGUUCUAUAUUGCCAGUCCUUUGGACACUUGAAAAAUGAACUACUGUAAUAUAUUGUUCCAAGUCUGUCAUUAAAUCAAUAAAUUGUUGUUGAAAAAAUGUUUUUCAGACACUUUUGUGUCAUACUUCUAUAACACAGCAUGAAAACAACAUGGCAAUUGCUCAUUCUUACUGAGUGGUUCUGUAUCAGUUGCAAAAUAAAAUUGGGAAAAAUGUAAUUUUAUUAGCAAUUUUUUAAAAACUAUCUUUAUAAAACUAGUUUUUAAGACCUUUUUCCUCCCAAGCAUUUAUAUAUAAAACCCAGAGAAAGCUGUCCUC